UACGAAGGGGGCUAGCGUUGCUCGGAAUCACUGGGCGUAAAGCGCACGUAGGCGGCUUCUUAAGUCAGGGGUGAAAUCCUGGAGCUCAACUCCAGAACUGCCUUUGAUACUGAGAAGCUUGAGUCCGGGAGAGGUGAGCGGAACUGCGAGUGUAGAGGUGAAAUUCGUAGAUAUUCGCAAGAACACCAGUGGCGAAGGCGGCUCACUGGCCCGGUACUGACGCUGAGGUGCGAAAGCGUGGGGAGCAAACAGG
RNAcentral lists this ribosomal RNA (253 nucleotides) under uncultured bacterium. Its description in RNAcentral is "partial 16S ribosomal RNA". It matches the Rfam family "Bacterial small subunit ribosomal RNA", at positions 524 to 776 of the family's 1533-position model. The record is from RNAcentral.